This 1478-nucleotide ribosomal RNA is filed under the name Escherichia coli. Its description in RNAcentral is "bacterial SSU rRNA". It matches the Rfam family "Bacterial small subunit ribosomal RNA". Lineage: Bacteria; Pseudomonadati; Pseudomonadota; Gammaproteobacteria; Enterobacterales; Enterobacteriaceae. The record is from RNAcentral.
AAGCAGCUUGCUGCUUUGCUGACGAGUGGCGGACGGGUGAGUAAUGUCUGGGAAACUGCCUGAUGGAGGGGGAUAACUACUGGAAACGGUAGCUAAUACCGCAUAACGUCGCAAGACCAAAGAGGGGGACCUUAGGGCCUCUUGCCAUCGGAUGUGCCCAGAUGGGAUUAGCUAGUAGGUGGGGUAACGGCUCACCUAGGCGACGAUCCCUAGCUGGUCUGAGAGGAUGACCAGCCACACUGGAACUGAGACACGGUCCAGACUCCUACGGGAGGCAGCAGUGGGGAAUAUUGCACAAUGGGCGCAAGCCUGAUGCAGCCAUGCCGCGUGUAUGAAGAAGGCCUUCGGGUUGUAAAGUACUUUCAGCGGGGAGGAAGGGAGUAAAGUUAAUACCUUUGCUCAUUGACGUUACCCGCAGAAGAAGCACCGGCUAACUCCGUGCCAGCAGCCGCGGUAAUACGGAGGGUGCAAGCGUUAAUCGGAAUUACUGGGCGUAAAGCGCACGCAGGCGGUUUGUUAAGUCAGAUGUGAAAUCCCCGGGCUCAACCUGGGAACUGCAUCUGAUACUGGCAAGCUUGAGUCUCGUAGAGGGGGGUAGAAUUCCAGGUGUAGCGGUGAAAUGCGUAGAGAUCUGGAGGAAUACCGGUGGCGAAGGCGGCCCCCUGGACGAAGACUGACGCUCAGGUGCGAAAGCGUGGGGAGCAAACAGGAUUAGAUACCCUGGUAGUCCACGCCGUAAACGAUGUCGACUUGGAGGUUGUGCCCUUGAGGCGUGGCUUCCGGAGCUAACGCGUUAAGUCGACCGCCUGGGGAGUACGGCCGCAAGGUUAAAACUCAAAUGAAUUGACGGGGGCCCGCACAAGCGGUGGAGCAUGUGGUUUAAUUCGAUGCAACGCGAAGAACCUUACCUGGUCUUGACAUCCACGGAAGUUUUCAGAGAUGAGAAUGUGCCUUCGGGAACCGUGAGACAGGUGCUGCAUGGCUGUCGUCAGCUCGUGUUGUGAAAUGUUGGGUUAAGUCCCGCAACGAGCGCAACCCUUAUCCUUUGUUGCCAGCGGUCCGGCCGGGAACUCAAAGGAGACUGCCAGUGAUAAACUGGAGGAAGGUGGGGAUGACGUCAAGUCAUCAUGGCCCUUACGACCAGGGCUACACACGUGCUACAAUGGCGCAUACAAAGAGAAGCGACCUCGCGAGAGCAAGCGGACCUCAUAAAGUGCGUCGUAGUCCGGAUUGGAGUCUGCAACUCGACUCCAUGAAGUCGGAAUCGCUAGUAAUCGUGGAUCAGAAUGCCACGGUGAAUACGUUCCCGGGCCUUGUACACACCGCCCGUCACACCAUGGGAGUGGGUUGCAAAAGAAGUAGGUAGCUUAACCUUCGGGAGGGCGCUUACCACUUUGUGAUUCAUGACUGGGGUGAAGUCGUAACAAGGUAACCGUAGGGGAACCUGCGGUUGGAUCACCUCCUUACCUUAAAGAAGC